This 243-nucleotide ribosomal RNA is filed under the name uncultured bacterium. Its description in RNAcentral is "partial small subunit ribosomal RNA". It matches the Rfam family "Bacterial small subunit ribosomal RNA", at positions 26 to 285 of the family's 1533-position model. The record is from RNAcentral.
AGAAUCAACGCUGGCGGCGUGCCUAACACAUGCAAGUCGCACGAGAAAGUGGAGCAAUCCACGAGUACAGUGGCGCACGGGUGAGUAACACGUGACUUAUCUACCUCCGAGUGGGAAUAACUGAGAGAAAUCUUAGCUAAUACCGCAUAACACUUACGAGUCAAAGCAGCAAUGCGCUUGGAGAGGAGGUCGCGGCCGAUUAGCUAGUUGGCGGGUAAUGGCCCACCAAGGCGAUGAUCGGUA